RNAcentral lists this ribosomal RNA (254 nucleotides) under uncultured bacterium. RNAcentral describes it as "partial 16S ribosomal RNA". It matches the Rfam family "Bacterial small subunit ribosomal RNA", at positions 524 to 777 of the family's 1533-position model. The record is from RNAcentral.
UACGUAGGGGGCAAGCGUUGUCCGGAAUCAUUGGGCGUAAAGAGCGUGUAGGCGGUCCGGUAAGUCGGCUGUGAAAGUCCAGGGCUCAACCCUGGGAUGCCGGUCGAUACUGCCGGACUAGAGUUCGGAAGAGGCGAGUGGAAUUCCCGGUGUAGCGGUGAAAUGCGCAGAUAUCGGGAGGAACACCAAUGGCGAAGGCAGCUCGCUGGGACGUUACUGACGCUGAGACGCGAAAGCGUGGGGAGCAAACAGGG